UAGGCGGAAUGUUGCGUUAAAGGAAAGGUCGUUCGUGUCUCGCCCACCCGUUUGAUUGUGCCUAACAGCGUCUUGAAUUAUUCGCGCUCGUUGAGUACUUUACUUCUUUCGGGUUGUAAACGCUCAACACACGGUUCCAUGGAGGGUGCAAGUCCCGUAUGGCCGCGGUUGAGUGGGCGAAGGCUAGACCUCUUUUCCUGGAGAGUCGCGUUGCUUGAACAUGCAGCGCUAAGCAGGAGGUAAACUCCUCCUAAGGCUAAAUAUGUCCACAGAACCGAUAGCUAACAAGUACCGCGAGGGAAAGUUGAAAAGUACUCUGGAGAGAGGGUGCAAAGACCGU
This 340-nucleotide ribosomal RNA is filed under the name Vibilia cultripes. RNAcentral's name for it is "eukaryotic LSU rRNA". It matches the Rfam family "Eukaryotic large subunit ribosomal RNA", at positions 135 to 400 of the family's 3401-position model. The record is from RNAcentral. Lineage: Eukaryota; Metazoa; Arthropoda; Malacostraca; Amphipoda; Vibiliidae.